UUAAUGGUUCCCGUAAUUCCGUUCCUCGUCGAAGUCCUAAGUCCUAACAUAAAAAUUUUCGUAGGAUUUUCAAUUAAGCAUCAUGUUAUUUUAAAAAAAGUCAGCCAUGUCACUGUCAGCAUGUCAGCUAUGGAAUUGUUUUAUGUGGAAUGCGUUGUAAAAUUUUCUUUUCGUUUUUUCUAGUAGUUUCUCUACUGCAUGAUCAAUCGUAAUUCAUUUGUUAGACACUUAAACAAGUCACGUUUUAAGGAAAUGUUUGAAACCACUUUGGAUUCCCAGACUGCAUCGUGAACCACAUCGUGUGACUACAACAGUUGAAGCAUGAAUUCUUCUUGUGUGCAUCGGAUUUUCAAUCUCUGUUCUGUAAGUGGUGGGUGUUGCAAGAAAUUUAUUUUCUCAGGAUCUGUGUCUGGCUAUCAUCUGGCUGCUUCAACAACUCAAUGCAAAAGUUUAACUGUGAACGUGAGUCUUGAGAUUAUUGGGUUCACAAGUGUGAGUGGCAAGUAACACUCUGACUUCUCCCCAGAAAAUGUAUCAACUGCCAGCAACCAUGCAGAUGAUGGAUUUGAAAAGAUUAUAGCUUUGAAAGCUUUUCAGUUUCCUCCAGAUCUCAAUUUUGGUAAUCAAGUUUAAGCUCUCCUUCAUCAGGGUGAUGUGACGAACCAUUUAAAUUCGGCUAGUCAACAUUCCGUUUUUAUGCUUAUCCGUUUGGAGUAGGAAAUCUCUUAUUACUCAAAUAUAUUUACUGAAUAAUUAUUCAGUAAAGACAGUUUAUCCCGUUUCCCCCGACUCGUGUGCUUGAACCUCUAAGACGCGACUUACUUGAAAGACAAUAUUGCGCAAACGAUGUAGGAAAAGAAGAGGGCGAGAAAAAUAACGCGGUAAUGUCCAAACACUGAAACCUGUUAAGCGAAGGUUGCUGUAUUGAGUAGCGCAUCAAAACGGAGUUUAGUUCGUCUUCUGUUCACUGUCUUACUAAUUCGUUCCAUACACUGGAUGGUACCGUCCAUCAGAUUGGACCUGCAGAACGCACAGUCGCGGAAGUAAGGCGGUUGUGCUGCCACAUCUUUCUACAGUAAAUGCAAUGGCAGGUUGAUCAUCUAUGUCAUCCUCCAAUUAGAAUUGAAGGUGAAUCUGGACUUUCGGCCAGUGUAGCAAAGACCGGACGCCAGGUUUUGUUCCAACUCCACAACUUGCCAAACAUCUGGCAGCCUGUCUUCAAUCCUAAAAGUGGCGGAGUGUCUGUUCGUGAGUGAAUGAAGCAAGUUCGCCAUUUGCUUUUGAGACGGUGGACCACAGGUGGACGGAAAUGUCAAAUGUGAUGCUGUGUUUUUUGUUUUUUUUUUUACAUGUUAAAAUGCUGAAGUAAUUUCACACAAUUCGACCAAGCUGAAUCGAAAGUGAACAACUCUUAAAGCAACAUGUCGAAGAUCUUCUUUCUUCUGCCUUUUUCUACGUGAUAGCUGCCAUGUCAUAAAGAUGCGUCUUUGAGAGAGUCUCACUAUAUUGCAAGACAAAAGUGUGAUGAAAAUAGGAAUACUGAAAUGAUUUCCAUGGUCAGUUUGAUGUUUGAGCUGCCUAUGGUGUUGCUGUUUGGUGUACAGUGGUUUUGCAGUCAUUUUCCAGUUGAGAGAUAUUCUGAAAUGGAGCUUGUGGAGACUUGCAGUUCAACAUCAUACUAUAAUGUGUUAUUUGCCUAUGUUGGUGUCCAUGCAGUAUAUGCAGUGAUGAACAGUUGGGCUAGUCAAUGUUGCCUGUGGCCGUCUGGCUUAUUUUAUCGGCUGCAUUUUGUCGAUAUGUCUUCUCUUGCUACCUGUACCGUCGUUGAGUUGAUUCGUUUGCCGCCGUUCCUUAGACUUGAUCCACCGGUGAAACUAAGAAGACGUUGCUGAAAUUCAAGAUUGAUCAAAAAACUAUGUAGAUAAAUUACAAGUGCAUAAUCUGGGCUCCCUUCUUCAGUGGCCCCGUUUCCCUAAAUAACCACUAACCAACGCCCGCCGGUGGUCACUCACUCGCUGCGACAACCAGGAGGAAGGGAGAUGUUUGGUCGAACGGGGACUUGCAAGCCGCUUGAUUCGAUGAAAUCUGUUGGAGGGUCAUGAGUCUAAGCCGGAAGUCUUCUAUGAUGCAUUGCUCUCUUAAAAACUGUUCCUCGACUCUCUUCGCUCUAUUUCCGGUUUCUCUUAACCAUGGCCGGGUAAUCUCCCUGGUCGAGUCAGUCGGGCAGUGUCUUCCCCUGCUUGACUGGCUGCAGUUUGAACCGGACGGUCUGUUAAAAUAAGAAUUUAAAUCUAGAACAACGCCUUUGAGCGGCCCGGACAAUCCUGAAUCCUUUAGGGUUGCCAUUCCAUCGAGGCUUAAACGAGGAUGACGCGGAGGUGUUGCCCAUUGAGGGGUUUUGGUGACAAGGAGUCAAUGAACGAAAUGCUAAACCAAAUAAAAAAAAUAUUAAAAAAGGUAAUGCUAGAUACGACAUGAAGCUUUUGCUUUCGCAGAGAAUAAUGUGUAUUUGUGUGCAACCAACGAUCCUUUAUAUAUCCGAGCCGAGUCCUUUCCAUCUAUUCGGUGUGAAGAGAAAAACCCGAAUUUCAACACAUUUUACUGCUUAGCAACGAAAACAAAGCGAGUGUCAAAACAUCGUUUUACUUGCGCAUACUUUAUUGCGGUAGAAACGCGUUGAUCAUGUAACAGGGUAAAUUUUUUCCCUUUUGUUCAUGCAGCACCAAACGACACGCGAUAGGUUCCGGCGGUCAUCAACUAUUCAAGAUGGUAGACCUGUCGAUGUAAAAGACAGGGUAAGGAUAGCUCCUGUAAAUGUUAUUCAUUUAUGUUAAAAGCUGCUAGUAGGAUCGCAUGGUUGAAUCUGCGGUUACAAAAUCCAUGGGCCUAGAGUUCAGACCCAUCCCCAGCAACGUCAACCUGCAGAAAGAAAAAGGCCAGUUUCUAUGGCCUUCAGACUCGAAGAUCGCGGAGAUAACUACGUAAAACUGGCAUGGGGUGGCGUAGAGGUUGGGUGAGAAUGACACGUUUUUCAACAUUAUCAAGCAGACCCAUCCCCGGCAAAGUCACCUGCAGAAGGAAAGGCCAGUUUGCAUUUCAAUUGAAG
This is a long non-coding RNA of Daphnia pulex (common water flea), 3106 nucleotides long. RefSeq lists it as uncharacterized. The transcript has 13 exons. The record is from RefSeq and is a predicted model, not a curated record. Lineage: Eukaryota; Metazoa; Arthropoda; Branchiopoda; Diplostraca; Daphniidae.